GAUUUUUUUAGCAAUUUAUUUACCAGUAUAGAGGUAAUUUUUAUAAAAAAAUAUACCAGAAGGCAAAGAAUAAUAAAAAAUAUAAUAUGUAAAAAAACCUUAUUUAAAGUGAAAUAUGAAUAUAUUAAUUGUAAAACUUCUAAAAUAAGAAGUAACAAGAUACAUUAACAUUAUAAACAUAAAUAUCCUCAUGUCAAGCCAGCUGAUAUGAAAUUUACAAAGAUAGCCAUCAAAAGAUAUAAUAAUAAUUGGGUAUCCUCAAAUUGUGAAAUUCCAUAUAAUAUCACAAAUGGAGUUGAAACCCAGUUGCAAAAAAAGACAAUAACAUCUUACUUCCGAAAACAAACCUCCGUUAUUGAAGAUUUCCAAAUUGUAUUAUCUUCUCAUCCAAUCCCCAGUUCCAGUGAGGCGCUUACUUUGCAUGAUGAAAUUCACAAAUUGUAUUAUCUCCUCAUUCAAUCCCCAGUUCCAGUGAGGCGCUUACUUUGGAUGAGGAAUAAAUUACGAGGAUAUUCAAAAUCCAAGUCUUAUUCAGCUAUACAAAAAGAAGGAACCAAAUGACCCAUUUCACUUCAUAUUAUUUAGGAUGACAAAUAUUCUGAUUAAUUUCAUAAUUGCUGUAGGCCCAUGUCAGCCAUGUAGAAAUAAAUUUCAAUAUCCUGAGGAGCAUAACCUAAUAUAGAAAGGUUAAUAUAGAUGAUUCCUUCAACCCCAGAAAUUAGCUAUCGUCUUUUGUCUAUAUUUUAUUAUGUUUGGUGGCCCUAAGUCUAACACUUUUUGGACUCAACUUGGAGUAAAUAACUGGAAAAACAUUAAGCUUGACUUAGAGAGAUACGAAUCAUCUUCUAUUCAUAAGGAUCGAUAUGCAAACAUGACUUGUCUUGCAAAUAAGCGCAUUCAAGAUGCUAUCAAAUAAGCUUUAUAUAAUCAUGCUUUGGUUCUAAUUCGAAUGAAGGUAAUUUUAUGUGCUCUAAAUUAAUGGCAAAACGGUUCCAACUUUACGUGCAUACAUGAAUAAUAACGAAAAAUUGCGG
This is an RNA transcript of Gordionus sp. m RMFG-2023, 1034 nucleotides long. RefSeq lists it as uncharacterized. Lineage: Eukaryota; Metazoa; Nematomorpha; Gordioida; Chordodea; Parachordodidae. The transcript has 7 exons. The record is from RefSeq and is a predicted model, not a curated record.